This 282-nucleotide non-coding RNA is filed under the name Verticillium longisporum. Its description in RNAcentral is "Verticillium dahliae var. longisporum Bacterial large subunit ribosomal RNA". It matches the Rfam family "Bacterial large subunit ribosomal RNA", at positions 1696 to 2106 of the family's 2925-position model. Lineage: Eukaryota; Fungi; Ascomycota; Sordariomycetes; Glomerellales; Plectosphaerellaceae. The record is from Rfam by way of RNAcentral.
AAAAUAUAGAAAAGGAACUCGGCAAAAUUCUACCUUAACUGUUUACCAAAAACAUAGCCUUAAGUUUUAUUUAAGGUGACGCCUGCCCAGUGCUGUGAGAAGUAAACGGCCGCAGUACCUUGACUGUGCUAAGGUAGCAUAAUCAGUUGGCUUUUAAAUGGAGUCGGGAAUGAAUGGAUUAAUAGGGUAAAGCUGUCUCUUUUGUACUAUAUUGAACUUACUUAUUAGGUGAAAAUGCCUAAAUUUAGAAAAAAGACGAGAAGACCCCAGGAGUUUUUACUA